This 83-nucleotide ribosomal RNA is filed under the name Dysgonomonas sp. PF1-14. RNAcentral describes it as "partial 23S ribosomal RNA". It matches the Rfam family "Bacterial large subunit ribosomal RNA", at positions 1 to 83 of the family's 2925-position model. Lineage: Bacteria; Pseudomonadati; Bacteroidota; Bacteroidia; Bacteroidales; Dysgonomonadaceae. RNAcentral also lists the same sequence under 3 other names. The record is from RNAcentral.
AAGAAAGUAAUAAAGGGCACAUGGGGGAUGCCUAGGCUCUCAGAGGCGAUGAAGGACGUGAUAAGCUGCGAAAAGCUAGGGGU